Molecule: non-coding RNA, 1533 nt
Organism: Paramuricea clavata
Lineage: Eukaryota; Metazoa; Cnidaria; Anthozoa; Malacalcyonacea; Plexauridae
Source: the annotation of a GenBank genome assembly
GCCAGUGAUUGGCGCGCCAGUGAUUCGCGCGGUUUAAUCAAAGAAUCGUCCCGUUGAACCAGAGCCUUCGCGCCGUUACAAUUUAUUAUAUACUGUCGAAGGCUCUGGAAUCCAGGGUACACAUUUUAUUAACCCAAAUUGAAUUUGUCAUGAACUGAUAUGCAUGCAUGUGAUGUCAAUGUUUUUGAUACCAUUAACCCAUUUCUGAUUGCAUAUACUAUACUGUACACGAUAAUUUACAUGUCGGAUAUCUUCGGAGUAAAGAAUCUAGUGAAAAGUCCAAGUAUAAUUUAUAAAACUCAAAUAUAAUUUAUAAAAUGUUUCUCAAAAGGCAAUAUAUAUUUUAAAAAAUCCAUUUUUUGAAACUCGUAUAAACUUCCCUUAGAUAUAAGUUAGAGUAUGUCAUUGUCCACACAAACCAUUUAGCAGUACCCUGUCCACUAUAUAUAAUACAUAAAUAUACAACCGACGCCACUUUCAGUUUGUAUGUUUGAAAAUUUUAAUUUUAAAAAACAGGUCAAUUUUUACUGCGGUAUUGGUAAUAUAAAAAUAAAAAGCAAUAGAAACUUGCAACGUACAAUAACUAAUGUCUAGUGAGUGCUCGGGUGAUUGGUAAACUAAAAAUAUAAUAAAUAUACAAUCUCUGCUUUUUGAAACGACGGGUUUUGACAUUGGUAUACAUUUCGUGUCCAUGUCUGCAGAUCCACACAGUCAGUUAUUAAUAUUAAUUUUUAAAUUUUUCUCAUGAAUUAUUAAAGAUUUUUACGAUUUCUUACCGGUGAGAAGAAAUAUCCUGCCUUGAGAAAGUAUUGUGGCAUCCAUAAGCCGAGCAUAAACGAGGAAUUUUUGCGAAGUUGUUUGAGUUUGUAAAUUGUAUUAAGUUUGUUUUUUGUAUAAAAAAACAAGCAAAAUGAAAGAUGAAAUCGUCGUCUUAAGCCGAGGAUCGCGGUUGGUCAGUGAUAAUUACCAUGAGGAUUUGGGACAGUGGCGUCAUUCUGGCGUUAGCAGACGUGAAAAUUCACCAUGUUUUUGACGACACUGGUUCAUGCCGAGCACUUCCUCCAGAUAUAUUAUAACUCAGUGGGUACGGCCUGGAGUGAGGCGUGUUAGACAUGUCUUAAAGAAAGAAAACCAGGAAAUCCUCGUAAAUAGUUUUAUCCCUUUCUAUUUAUCGUUUUAAGAAUGACUUUGUAUGUCCGAGUGUCUAUAUAUUGGAGAUGUGUUCUUUCUAUUCGUCUCCCCUGCAUCUUGGUGCCUCUGGUCAAAAGACAGAAGCUCUCUUCAUUUGUACAUGUACAUGUACAUGAAUUUCCCCAACGAUGGUACAAGUUAACAUUAAAGGGAAAUGGCAAUAUAACAACUUUUGAAACUAUAUAUUAACGAUUUUUCAUACCUUGCAUAGUUCUUGAAAUAUUUUCACUUGAAGUAAUGUCUAAUGAGAUGUCCGCCAUCUUUGAUAAAUUUUUGAUCUCAUUAACGAUAGUUUUGGUGACGUCACAAACGGGAUUAACUAUAUAAAAGUAUUCGUUGCUU